RNAcentral lists this RNase P RNA (410 nucleotides) under Solihabitans fulvus. Its description in RNAcentral is "Bacterial RNase P class A". It matches the Rfam family "Bacterial RNase P class A". From Rfam's summary of the family: Ribonuclease P (RNase P) is a ubiquitous endoribonuclease, found in archaea, bacteria and eukarya as well as chloroplasts and mitochondria. Its best characterised activity is the generation of mature 5'-ends of tRNAs by cleaving the 5'-leader elements of precursor-tRNAs. Lineage: Bacteria; Bacillati; Actinomycetota; Actinomycetes; Pseudonocardiales; Pseudonocardiaceae. The record is from Rfam by way of RNAcentral.
UGAGUCGGCAGGGCGACCGCGUCGGCGGGUGCUACCCGCCGCCGAGGAAAGUCCGGACUCCACAGGGCAGGGUGGUUGUUAACGGCAACCCGGGGCGACCCGCGGGACAGUGCCACAGAAAACAGACCGCCCGGGGCGCGCGAGCGCGCCGGGUAAGGGUGAAACGGUGGUGUAAGAGACCACCAGCACCCCGGGUGACCGGGGUGGCUAGGUAAACCCCACCCGGAGCAAGGCCAAGAGGGCGGCGAGACCUGGUCGCGCCGCCUGCGCAGGCGUUCGAGGGCUGCCCGCCCGAUGCCUGCGGGUAGGCUGCUUGAGCCUGCCGGCGACGGCAGGCCUAGAUGGAUGGUCGCCCACCGCGGCGCAGCGCGCCGCGGAGACAGGAUCCGGCUUACAUGCCGGCUCAUCCG